AGCGAACGCUGGCGGCGUGCUUAACACAUGCAAGUCGAACGUGAAAUGUAGCAAUACAGAGUAAAGUGGCGUACGGUGAGUAACACGUGGGUAAUCUACCAAAGUGUCUGGAAUAACCGAUCGAAAGGUUGGCUAAUACUGGAUAGUUCAAGCUUGUUAUAAUGGCAAGAUUGGGAAAGGGAGCUGGCAACAGCCUUCGCAUUUUGAUGAGCUCGCGUCUGAUUAGUUAGUUGGUAAGGUAAUGGCUUACCAAGACGAAGAUCAGUAGCUGGUCUGAGAGGAUGAUCAGCCACACUGGAACUGAAACACGGUCCAGACUCCUACGGGAGGCAGCAGUGGGGAAUCUUGCGCAAUGGACGAAAGUCUGACGCAGCCACGCCGCGUGAGUGAAGAAGGCC
RNAcentral lists this ribosomal RNA (398 nucleotides) under uncultured bacterium. RNAcentral describes it as "bacterial SSU rRNA". It matches the Rfam family "Bacterial small subunit ribosomal RNA", at positions 29 to 416 of the family's 1533-position model. The record is from RNAcentral.